This 501-nucleotide ribosomal RNA is filed under the name Streptococcus mutans. RNAcentral describes it as "bacterial SSU rRNA". It matches the Rfam family "Bacterial small subunit ribosomal RNA", at positions 28 to 504 of the family's 1533-position model. Lineage: Bacteria; Bacillati; Bacillota; Bacilli; Lactobacillales; Streptococcaceae. The record is from RNAcentral.
GACGAACGCUGGCGGCGUGCCUAAUACAUGCAAGUGGGACGCAAGGGAACACACUGUGCUUGCACACCGUGUUUUCUUGAGUCGCGAACGGGUGAGUAACGCGUAGGUAACCUGCCUAUUAGCGGGGGAUAACUAUUGGAAACGAUAGCUAAUACCGCAUAAUAUUAAUUAUUGCAUGAUAAUUGAUUGAAAGAUGCAAGCGCAUCACUAGUAGAUGGACCUGCGUUGUAUUAGCUAGUUGGUAAGGUAAGAGCUUACCAAGGCGACGAUACAUAGCCGACCUGAGAGGGUGAUCGGCCACACUGGGACUGAGACACGGCCCAGACUCCUACGGGAGGCAGCAGUAGGGAAUCUUCGGCAAUGGACGAAAGUCUGACCGAGCAACGCCGCGUGAGUGAAGAAGGUUUUCGGAUCGUAAAGCUCUGUUGUAAGUCAAGAACGUGUGUGAGAGUGGAAAGUUCACACAGUGACGGUAGCUUACCAGAAAGGACGGCUAACUAC